AUUGAACGCUGGCGGCAGGCCUAACACAUGCAAGUCGAACGAGUGGCGGACGGGUGAGUCAUGUCUGGGAAACUGCCUGAUGGAGGGGGAUAACUCCUGUAAACGGUAGCUAAUACCGCAUACCAUCGGAUGUGCCCAUAUGGGAUUAUCUCGUAGGUGGGGUAAAGGCUCACCUAGGCGACGAUCCCUAGCUGGUCUGAUAGGAUGAUCCGCCACACUGGGACUGAGACACGGUCCAGACUCCUACGUGAGGCAGCAGUGGGGAAUAUUGCACAAUGGGCGCAAGCCUGAUGCAGCCAUGCCGCGUGUAUGAAGAAGGCCUUCGGGUUGUAAAGUACUUUCAGCGGGGAGGCGUUACCCGCAGAAGAAGCACCGGCUAACUCCGUGCCAGCAGCCGCGGUAAUUC
This 406-nucleotide ribosomal RNA is filed under the name uncultured bacterium. RNAcentral's name for it is "partial 16S ribosomal RNA". It matches the Rfam family "Bacterial small subunit ribosomal RNA", at positions 30 to 526 of the family's 1533-position model. The record is from RNAcentral.